Molecule: non-coding RNA, 69 nt
Organism: Podarcis lilfordi (Lilford's wall lizard)
Lineage: Eukaryota; Metazoa; Chordata; Lepidosauria; Squamata; Lacertidae
Source: the annotation of a GenBank genome assembly
GCCAUAGCUCAGCGGUAGAGCAUCUGCCUUGCAAAGGGAAGGUCGUGGGUUCAAAUCCCGGCAUCUCCU